Molecule: long non-coding RNA, 1393 nt
Organism: Clupea harengus (Atlantic herring)
Lineage: Eukaryota; Metazoa; Chordata; Actinopteri; Clupeiformes; Clupeidae
Source: Ensembl
AACCAAAAUGGCUUAUUACCUGAGGUGAAUGUGAAUCUGUUCAAUGUCUGGUAUUCAUAGUUCUAAUCUAACACUUCCAUUACGUCUGCUGCAGCUACCUCUCCACCACACAUCUCCACAGAGGUGCUAACUCCCACAGAUGGUGCAGCUGAUGAAGGGGAAGACUCUUCCUCAGAGUUUACAGUGGUCAAGGUCCUGGCAGCUGUUGCCCUGGUCAUCGUGGUUCUACUGACUUCAUAUCUUAGUUUUCUGAGCUACAGAAGAAAGCGUGACGCUUCUUCAGACAAGAUUGCUGCUAGUAGGCAUGACAGACCAGGCUCUGAUCUGGAUUACGCAUCUAUAACAUUCACCAACACUGACUGUCAAAGCGAUCAGGAGGUGCCAUAUGCUGACAUAAUGAUUUCCGUGCGGGGGGUGAGCACCCCCGAGUUGAGGGGCCACCCAGGGGGGGCCCCAGGGAACCCCAGAGCGAGAUGGAGGGAUGACUCAGGGCCUGGACCCCUACAGCAUGUCUCCCGUUCGGCUGACCGUCUGCAUGUCCAGCCCAGAGAAGUGUCCAGGAAGCUGAGCAGCACCUCGGAGUACGCCGUCAUCACCUACUCUACCGAUGCUCUUCACUGACACCCAGCAAUUCUCUUAAAAUCCCAGCUGACCAGCUUAACUAUCCAUCCUUUUUUCUGUAACUAUAAAAGUGUAAAAGUGUACAACAUAGCACCAGUGUAUGACAUGUAUAAAGAUGUACAAUAUGCAGGCCUACACUGUACACAAUAUAGACUACAUGAAUUCAAAAUGUAUUAUUUAGUUUGGCAGAAUGCUAAGAUCCAAAGAAAAGAAAAUAAUAAGUAAUCUAAUUCUCAAAGCUUUUUCCAGUGUGGUGUGUAAACCAUAGACAUAAAAGCUAUGGUACAUACUGCCUAUAGAUAUCAGGGAAGCCAGCUCGCUAAAUAUUUUUUAAAGAAAACUAAAAACGUAUCUCUUCACCUUAGCCUUUAACUAGCUGCGACUUCACGCUAUAUAUAUAUAUAUUUUGUAUUUUUUAAUGUGUUUUACUUUUAUCUUCAUCGUGAUAUAAUGUGAUAUUAAGGGUUUAGAUAAACUAUAUCUCUACAGAGAUUUAUUUUCUAUCUUAUGUUAUGCAUUUUAUGUAUUCUAUUUUUAUCGUAAAUCUUUAUUCACUCUAUCCCUGUUUUUAUGCUCAUUUUAUUUUGUUUUAUGCACUCUAUCCUUGUUUUUAUGUUUAAUGUAUUAUGCUUCUUUGAUGUCUAUAUUAUUUGGAUCACUGUGCAUGUAAUUUCUUUGUGCACGUGAUUUCUUUGCUGUUAAGCACUUUGAGCUGCAUUGUUUUGUAUGAAAGGUGCUAUACAAAUAAAGUGUAUUAUUAUUAUUAUUAUUA